UUCAAUUGAUCCAUUUUUCCU
This 21-nucleotide non-coding RNA is filed under the name Caenorhabditis elegans. Lineage: Eukaryota; Metazoa; Nematoda; Chromadorea; Rhabditida; Rhabditidae. The record is from RNAcentral.